GGCUUGUCUGGUAGUGAGUUAUUUCAGUUGACUGUUCACAGGCAGGUACAGAUGAAACUCCUUGUUCUACUCUUCCCCUGCUUCCCACUACUGCUCCUGAGUAGUCUUAA
This is a Y RNA of Callithrix jacchus (white-tufted-ear marmoset), 110 nucleotides long. It matches the Rfam family "Y RNA". From Rfam's summary of the family: Y RNAs are components of the Ro ribonucleoprotein particle (Ro RNP), in association with Ro60 and La proteins. The Y RNAs and Ro60 and La proteins are well conserved, but the function of the Ro RNP is not known. NCBI's taxonomy places the organism in Eukaryota, Metazoa, Chordata, Mammalia, Primates, Cebidae. The record is from Ensembl.